CUUUGGUUACCUCAUCUAUAAAACAGAGAUACUAAUAUAUUAAUAAUUUACCGGGUUGCAUGUAAAGUGUCUGGCACAUAAUAGUGCUCAAUAAAUGUUAAUUAUUGUUACAUCAUCUUCCUAACUUUUGCUAGUUUCAUCAUCUACCCAUAUGGAUUACUUGGAGCAUCCAUAGAUAUUAUUCAUAUUGGCUGGAAAUGGCAUUGAGUACUAUAUAUUUGUGUUGGCCUUCAUAGUUUUUAAGACUAUAGUCAUGUACAACAUAACGAUGAUUUGGUCAACAAUGGACUCAUAUAUGACAGUGGUCCUAUAAAAUUAUACCAUAUUUUUACUGUACCUUUUUUGUAUUUAGAUACACAAAUACCAUUGUGUUACAGUUGCCUACAGUAUUCAGUAACAUGCUGUACAGGUUUGUAGCUUAGGAGCAAUAGGCUGUGCCAUACACCCUAGGUGUGUAGUAGGCUACACUACACCAUCUAGGUUUGUGUAGUACACUCUGAUGUUCCUACAAUGAUGAAAUCGCCUAAUGCAUUUCCCAAAACAUACACCAAUAGUUAAGCAAUGCAUGACUGUACUUUUGCAUACCUUAUCUCAUUUAAGCCUCAUAAAAGUCUUCUAAAGUAAACCAGUUCCAUCCCGGGGGUAGGAGGGAGUACACUCUUUUGACCUACAGUGGCCAUUUCUCAUGUUCCACAUAAUUUUUUCCCUUGAUUCACUGUAUCUGAAUCCUCCUUUUGUCUCUGCUGCAGUUGCUUACCCUUUUUGAAAUUCCAUUUUCUUCUCUUUUGCGAUACUCUUAUUUCCUGGUUCUUCCCCUACAUCUAUGCCAUUCUUCUGUUUAUUUCACAGUCUCCUUCCACUUCUGUCCUUAAAAUACUAAUAUUCAGGCCAGGCACAGUGGCUUAUGCCUGGAAACCCAACACUGGAGGCUGAGGUGAGAUGAUUGCUUGAGGCUAGGAGUUCAGGAUUAGCUUGGGCACAUAGGAAGACCCCAUCUCUACAGAAAUUUGUUGGGCACGAUAGCUUGUGCAUGUAGUCCCAGCUAUUCAGGAGGCUGAGGUGGGAGGAUCACUUGAGCCUAAGAGUCUGAGUCUGCAGUCAACUGGGAUAGCACCACUGCACUGCAGCCUGGGUGACAGAGCAAGACCCUAUCUCAAUCGGUCAAUCAAUCUCAGACCCAUCUGCUACACAACUAAUGUGUCUUUCCCUUUAAACUCUUCGGUACUUCCUGAUAUAGUCCAAACUCUUUGACAUAACGUUUUAGUCUCAAUCUGGCUUCAGCCUUCCUCUCUUUACAUUCCCUGUCUCCUACUUUGCUGUUCAGCAACAUCAAACCCUGUGUGCUUUUCCAUAGACUGUACUAUUUCUACUAUAUCUGGAAUUUCACCCCCAUUCACCUACUCACCCAAACAAAACAACUGGUCAAUUUUUACUCAUCCUUCACCUCAGUUGUCACCACUCUCAGGGAGCUCCCUUAAAUAAGAUAUGCCUCCUUGGUGUUAUCAUAAUACCCUCUGCAUAUUUUUACCUUGUGGUAUUUUAAUUAUCUGUUUAUAUAUCUAAUUCUUCCACCAUGCUCUGAAUUUUUUGAGUAUAUGGUAUAUACUUAGUACGAUGCUUGCUAUAUAACAGGAACACAGUGAAUAUUUGAAUGAAUGAAUAAUCUUGGCUACCAAUUUGCUGUGUUUCCUUGUCCCUUUCUGCAUAUGUGGCUUUGUCUUUUAAGUUCUUUAUAAAAGAUGAAUUGAGAUAAAUUGCUAAAGCUCCUUCUAAUUCUGAAAUAACUUAAUUCUUUUUUUUUUUUCUUCGAGACGGAGUCUCGCUCUGUCGCCCAGACUGGAGUGCAGUGGCGCAAUCUCGGCUCACUGCAACCUCCGCCUCCCGGCUUCAAGCGAUUCUCCUGCCUCAGCCUCCCGAAUUGCUGGGACUACAGACUCGUGCCACCACGCCCGGCUAAUUUUUGUAUUUUUAGUAGAGACGGGAUUUCACCGUGUUAGCCAGGAAGGUCUCCAUCUCCUGACCUCGUGAUCUGCCCACCUCAGCCGGCGUGAGCUACUGCGCCUGGCCUGAAAUAACUUAAUUCUUUUAAUAAUUUAUCUGGUUAUUCACAUUUCUGAAAAUCACUUACUUAAGUCAAAUAUGAAUAAAACAAUGACUAAAUGUAUUUUGUCAGAAAAUAAUAGUUUAUGAAAUAAUAGAUUAGCUAUCACUUUCUGCAAAUAAUGGGUUUCUAAUGUUUGUUGACUUAAAUUCAUAUAUUGAAUUAAAUUUACUAGUGAAAUAUCAGAUCAUUUAAUAGUCAUUUGUGAUAUCUUAGGGUAAUAAAAUUUUAAAAUAUGUAUAUGUUUUUGAUUGAACAGACACAACAUGACAAUCUAAUGAUUAAGAAGAUAUGGGUCCUACAUUUUGGGUCUUUCCAGUAUUGUCAACAGUGUAGGAGUUUUCGAUGGGAAAUAGCCAUAGUCAUCAAAAAUCCAUUUAUUUAGUUUUAAAAUAUACUAAAAUAUUUUCAUUGUAAUGUGGAGUACAUCUGCCUCUUAAGUUUGUGUAUAUUAAUAAUUGUAUCCUCAGUGCUUUGCACAUGAAAGGCAUUCAGUAAAUGUUUGUUAAAUAAAUGAAUAAAUACAGUAAGGCUACUCAGUGAGGCCUGCUUUCCAGAUUCUGUUCUGACGCCCUCUUUUCAACUCUUCAGUUCAUCACUAUUUGCUAUGAGCCUCUUCAAGACAAGCAUCUUGACCUAGCAUCAACCUAAACAGAUUUGUCUGCCCUUCCUCCCUCCCUUCCUUCCUUCCUUCAUUUUUCCUUUCUUAAACUAGAAUGUAAGUGUAGGUGAAUAAAGUUUUCCCAUACAAGUCAUUUCCUCAGCUAAGGUAGGAAAAGUGAGAGACAAUUCAGGUAGUUGGGUAAAAGUUCUUCAAAUUGUAGAUCUUAAGCUUCAGAUAGCUUUAUUGGGAAGUAGGCUUUAUGCAGAAUAAAUCAUUAAAGAAAUUGAGAAGAUAGAAGAGCAAAUUUGAAUGAAGUUGAUAAUUCAUGAUAGUAUUAUUACAAAUAUAAAGCUGAG
RNAcentral lists this long non-coding RNA (3061 nucleotides) under Homo sapiens (human). RNAcentral's name for it is "HSALNT0011443". Lineage: Eukaryota; Metazoa; Chordata; Mammalia; Primates; Hominidae. The record is from RNAcentral.